Molecule: ribosomal RNA, 232 nt
Filed under: uncultured eukaryote
Lineage: Eukaryota
Description: partial 18S ribosomal RNA
Rfam family: Eukaryotic small subunit ribosomal RNA
Source: RNAcentral
CGUAGUUGGACCUCUGAUGCGCGAUGGCGGUCCGCCUCACGGUGAGCACUGCUGUUGUGUGUCUUCCUCUCGCAGGCUUUCGGUGCACUUAACUGGGUGCCGUCUGAAUGUGGGACCUUUACUUUGAAAAAAUUAGAGUGUUCAAAGCAGGCAUACGCUUGAAUACAUUAGCAUGGAAUAAUGGAAUAGGACUUUGGUUCUAUUUUGUUGGUUUCUAGGACCGAAGUAAUGA